UCGCUUCGACAGCACAUAUACUAAAAUUGGAACUAUUCAGAGAAGAUUAGCAUGGCCCCUGUGCAAGGAUGACAAGCAAAUUCACAAAGAAGUCCUAAAAUACA
Molecule: small nuclear RNA, 104 nt
Organism: Suncus etruscus (white-toothed pygmy shrew)
Lineage: Eukaryota; Metazoa; Chordata; Mammalia; Eulipotyphla; Soricidae
Source: RefSeq, a predicted model, not a curated record